RNAcentral lists this transfer RNA (64 nucleotides) under Cichlidogyrus casuarinus. RNAcentral's name for it is "tRNA-Met". The record is from RNAcentral. Lineage: Eukaryota; Metazoa; Platyhelminthes; Monogenea; Dactylogyridea; Ancyrocephalidae.
AGGGAGAUAAGUUAUUAUCCAAACUGUCUGGUUCAUACUCAGAAAAUGCUUUUAGCUUUCCCUA